Molecule: ribosomal RNA, 370 nt
Filed under: uncultured organism
Description: bacterial SSU rRNA
Rfam family: Bacterial small subunit ribosomal RNA
Source: RNAcentral
CGUAGGGUGCAAGCGUUAAUCGGAAUUACUGGGCGUAAAGCGUGCGCAGGCGGUCUUGCAAGACAGGUGUGAAAUCCCCGGGCCUAACCUGGGAACUGCACUUGUGACUGCAAGGCUGGAGUACGGCAGAGGGGGAUGGAAUUCCGCGUGUAGCAGUGAAAUGCGUAGAUAUGCGGAGGAACACCGAUGGCGAAGGCAAUCCCCUGGGCCUGCACUGACGCUCAUGCACGAAAGCGUGGGGAGCAAACAGGAUUAGAUACCCUGGUAGUCCACGCCCUAAACGAUGUCAACUGGUUGUUGGACGGCUUGCUGUUCAGUAACGUAGCUAACGCGUGAAGUUGACCGCCUGGGGAGUACGGCCGCAAGGUUG